AAUUAAACAAAAUGAUAAAAAUAUAUAAUAGAAAGAAACAGGAGAGGAGGGAGAGAGAUGAGAUCUGCUCUAGGUGUUUCUUGAAUUCCCAGAAAAUUUGAUUAAAGGUAGCGAGUGCGAGAGAUUUGGGGAGAGUGAGCGUGGGUCUUAGAGCGAGCGAGCGAGCGAGCGAGCGAGCGAGGAAGAACAGGAGGAGAGUGAGAUAUUCUUUUUUCACCUUUAGGGUUCAAUUUCAUUGCGUUACCUGCCCAAAUUCAUCAUGGAUCGGAAGCUUGUGGUUCUCGGCAUUCCAUGGGACAUCGAUACAGAAGGGCUAAGAGACUACAUGAGCAAAUUUGGAGAGUUGGAGGAUUGUAUUGUCAUGAAGGAGAGGUCAACUGGUCGGUCUCGUGGUUUUGGGUAUGUGACCUUUGCAACCGAUGAAGAUGCCAAGAAUGCGCUAUCUAAUGAGCACUUCCUUGGCAAUAGAAUGCUGGAAGUUAAAGUUGCCACACCAAAGGAAGAGAUGAGAGCACCUCCAAAGAGAGUUACGAGGAUAUUUGUAGCAAGGAUUUCACAAUCUGUGACUGAGGCUGCCUUCCGCAGUCAUUUUGAGAAAUAUGGAGAAAUAACAGAUCUUUACAUGCCGAAGGACCAGGGCUCAAAAAUCCAUCGUGGAAUAGGUUUCAUCACUUUUGCAAGUUCAGACUCUGUAGAGAAUUUGAUGGCUGAAACUCAUGAAUUAGAAGGUUCUGCAGUGGUUGUUGACAGAGCGACCCCCAAGGACGAUGAUUUCAGGCCCAUAGGGAAAAUGCCGCGAGGGGGUCGUGGUGGUGGUGGUGGUGGUGGUGGAUAUGGUGCAUACAAUGCUUAUAUUUCUGCAGCAACAAGAUAUGCAGCACUUGGUGCUCCUACCUUAUACGACCAUCCAGUCUCAGUUUAUGGUGGGAGAAGGGAAUUUCGAGGGAUGGGAAAAAAGAUUUUUAUUGGUAGGCUCCCACAAGAAGCAUCUGCUGAUGAUCUCCGCCAAUACUUUGGUAGAUUUGGCCGUAUAUUGGAUGUCUAUGUUCCCAAGGAUCCUAAAAGAUCUGGUCAUCGAGGUUUUGGUUUUGUAACUUUUGCUGAAGAUGGUGUAGCAGAUCGUGUAUCUCGAAGAUCUCACGAGAUUUGUGGACAACAGGUAUUCUACUGCAUGUCACUUUCCUUACUAGAAGGGCAUUGCCAGCGACUGUUCUUUCUGCCUUUUGCGAGUUGCUAUCGAUUCAGCCACUCCUCUUGAUGAUGCUGGAGCAGCUGGAGCAAGUGGAACUUUUGUGAUGAAUAGCGCGGCAGAAUCUUUUGGGAGCUAUGGUGGACCUAUGAGGACUUAUGGAAGGAUGUAUGGAAGCCUGGACUUUGAUGAUUGGGGUUAUGGAGUUGGUGGUGGAAGACCAUCUAGAGCAGACUGGAGGUAUCGGCCAUACUGAUGAGAGACAAACCAGCAUUGAAUUAGUAGUGAUGGCUGAUGGCUU
This is an RNA transcript of Cucurbita maxima (winter squash), 1490 nucleotides long. It is a transcript of the gene named heterogeneous nuclear ribonucleoprotein A1-like, with no coding region annotated. Lineage: Eukaryota; Viridiplantae; Streptophyta; Magnoliopsida; Cucurbitales; Cucurbitaceae. The transcript has 14 exons. The record is from RefSeq and is a predicted model, not a curated record.